This 549-nucleotide long non-coding RNA is filed under the name Apteryx owenii (little spotted kiwi). RNAcentral's name for it is "lncRNA (ENSAOWG00000019465.1)". Lineage: Eukaryota; Metazoa; Chordata; Aves; Apterygiformes; Apterygidae. The record is from RNAcentral.
CGCCACCAUUUUGUGCCACCCUUUUUGCCCCCUGCCGCCAUUUUGUGCCACUGUCUUGCCCCCGCCACCAUUUGCUGCUGCUGUUUUGUCCCCUGCCGCCAUUUUGUGCCACGAUGUCACCCUGCCGCCAUUUUGCGCUGCUGUUUCGCCCCCCGCUGCCAUUUUGUGCCCUCGUUUCACCCCCGGCUGCCAUUUUGUGCCCUCGUUUCACCCCUUGCCAUCAUUUUGUGCCCUCCUUUCGCCCCCCCCGCCGCCAUUUUGCACCACUGUUUCGCCCCGGCUGCCAUUUUGUGCCCUCAUUUCGCCCCCCGCCACCAUUUUGUGCCCUCGUUUCGCCCUUUGCCGCCAUUUUGCACCACCGUUUCUCCCCGGCUGCCAUUUUGUGCCCUCAUCUCCCCCGCCGCCGCCAUUUUGCGCCGUUGCCGUUGCGCCGCUGACGGCGCGGUGCCGCCGCCGCUCCCUUGGUCCCCGCCGCAGGCUUCUUCCUCCUGGGGGGCGCCUGCGUGGCGCAGGGCAGCGCCUCGUCGCUGCUGAGCCUGCUGCGGCUGC